This 482-nucleotide ribosomal RNA is filed under the name uncultured bacterium. RNAcentral describes it as "partial 16S ribosomal RNA". It matches the Rfam family "Bacterial small subunit ribosomal RNA", at positions 28 to 507 of the family's 1533-position model. The record is from RNAcentral.
GACGAACGCUGGCGGCGUGCUUAACACAUGCAAGUCGAACGCUGAAGCUCAGCUUGCUGGGUGGAUGAGUGGCGAACGGGUGAGUAACACGUGAGUAACCUGCCCUCUUCUUUGGGAUAACGCCCGGAAACGGGUGCUAAUACUGGAUAUUCACUGAUUCUCGCAUGGGGGUUGGUGGAAAGGUUUUUUCUGGUGGGGGAUGGGCUCGCGGCCUAUCAGCUUGUUGGUGGGGUGAUGGCCUACCAAGGCUUUGACGGGUAGCCGGCCUGAGAGGGUGACCGGUCACAUUGGGACUGAGAUACGGCCCAGACUCCUACGGGAGGCAGCAGUGGGGAAUAUUGCACAAUGGGCGAAAGCCGGAUGCAGCGACGCCGCGUGAGGGAUGGAGGCCUUCGGGUUGUAAACCUCUUUCGCUCAUGGUCAAGCCGCAGCUUUGGGUUGUGGUGAGGGUAGUGGGUAAAGAAGCGCCGGCUAACUACGUG